Molecule: ribosomal RNA, 497 nt
Filed under: uncultured bacterium
Lineage: Bacteria
Description: partial 16S ribosomal RNA
Rfam family: Bacterial small subunit ribosomal RNA
Source: RNAcentral
GACGAACGCUGGCGGCGUGCCUAAUACAUGCAAGUCGAGCGCUGAAGGUUGGUACUUGUACCAACUGGAUGAGCAGCGAACGGGUGAGUAACGCGUGGGUAAUCUGCCUUUGAGCGGGGGACAACAUUUGGAAACGAAUGCUAAUACCGCAUAAAAACUUUAAACACAAGUUUUAAGUUUGAAAGAUGCGAUUGCAUCACUCAAAGAUGAUCCCGCGUUGUAUUAGCUAGUUGGUGAGGUAAAGGCUCACCAAGGCGAUGAUACAUAGCCGACCUGAGAGGGUGGUCGGCCAAAUUGGGACUGAGACACGGCCCAAACUCCUACGGGAGGCAGCAGUAGGGAAUCUUCGGCAAUGGGCGGAAGGCUGAACGAGCAAAGCCGGGGGAGGGAAGAAGGGUUUCGGAUCGUAAAACUCUGUUGGUAGAGAAGGACGAAAGUGGGAGUGAAAAGCGCAUCAAGUGACGGUAACUACUCAGAAAGGGACGGCUAACUACGUG